Molecule: non-coding RNA, 3082 nt
Organism: Lolium perenne
Lineage: Eukaryota; Viridiplantae; Streptophyta; Magnoliopsida; Poales; Poaceae
Source: RefSeq, a predicted model, not a curated record
AAAAGGUUUGAAUUCAAAUGUUUUAAUAAAAAGAAAAAAAAGAAAAACCCCUUCCCUCUCUCCUGGGUCUCUCCCUCUCUCCCUGGCCCAAGUCCCUCUCUCCUUUCUUCCUUACCCGGUGGCCCAUCUCUCUUCUUUCUCUGGCCCAAGCCAUCUCCCUCUUGGCCCGUACCCCUUCGAGGAGAAAAGAUCUUCUCCCUUUCCUGUCGUCUUCUCCACCUCGUCACGCAUGAGGCGUGCCUCCUUUUUCCCUCAUGGCUGUGGUCCUCCCUCUCAACCACUGCCCCCUUUUCCCCCUCUUAAAUCUCCAACUCGAGCCCCAGCAAACCCUAGCCCUCCUCCCUCUGGCCGUCGCCACUAUCUCCUCUUCUCCCCACCUUUCUCCUUUUUCUCUCCGUGAACAAAACGAAGAAACACUGCCACCACCAUCCUCACCAUGGCUCCGCCUCCACAGACCACCCCCCGCCGUUCUGAGGGCACCGACAGAUGCGCCUCGAUGUCCUUGUUCUCCACACCGGAGGAAUCGAGCUCAUACGCUCCCAGUCGCCGCCAAUCCCGCCGUUUCUUCUUCGUCUCUGGCAGCAAAACUUGACGAUUCCGGCCGGCCUAGUCCUUCCCCGGCGACCUCAACCUCACCAACAUGUUCUGGGUGCUCACCGUCGGCGUCCCUCCGGCGACCCCCUGGACUCCACACCACCGCCAUCAGCCUCCUUGUGUUCUGGCGCAUCCCCGACGCCAAGUUUCCCGUCCCGAUUCGCCUUGAAUCGCCGGAUUGAUUGGCUACUGGAUCUCCCCGCCAUUGCUGUAAUGUUCAAGCUCGUCCCUGGCACCGGUUGGUUCUAGUUGUCACGGGCCAGCACGUUAACAAGAUCUGGAUCAGUAGCCCAGUGGUAACACCCUUGAUCCGGUUACCGUGUGGCCUGAGUUCAAAUCCCCAUCUGGGUGAUUAAGCAACACCUUUUUGAUGUUUUUCUCCCCAGAUCCGUGGAUGGGCCUUGGCCCAGGUUCUUCUCCCGGCGCUGGCCUACAUCCGCCGCCGCCGCAGGCUUAGUUCCGGCCCAGAACCGAGCAGGUUCGGCCCAGUUUUCCCUCGCCUUUCCUCUCUUCUUUAAUUUUGCAAAAAAAUGUUUAAAUCUUGCGAAAUUCAUAUCUUUCAAACCGCUCAUCGAAAUGCAAAGUGUUUUAUAUGAAAAUUGAUCAGAAAAAUAUGAGGAACAUGAAUAUGCCAUCCAUUCAUCUGUUUGCAUCCCGCAUCAUGUCGUGCGUUGAUAGUUGUGCAUAUCCACCUCACAUAUAUGCGGAGUAUUUUGGAUUUCCAACUAUGGUUUUCCCCGCUCCGUUUAAUAUUGAAGUAGCGCACCCCUGACAUGAUAUGCCAUGCUAAUCAACACUUAACUUUGACGCUAGAAAAUGCAACUCCAACCUAAUUUGCUUGUCCGGGGUUCCGACUCCGAUUAAAUUGGAUAAGUGCAUCGCAUCCUGUUUGCCAUGUCAUGCAUAUCAUAUCAUGAUCAUGCUGGAUCUUCUUUAUCCGUAGUAGUAAGACUUGCAUGCGUUGUGUGUUCUAGCAUUUGCUUCUUCACGGAUAGGAUCACGAAGUGGUGUUGAGAGAUACGACAAGUUCUUCUGCAGCUUUUCACAGGCGAGCCCACCCCUUCACCUAUUUUACUUUUACAUGCUCCUUUGAUCUAUUGCUAUCCUUAUGUUGUGAUUCUGUUGUGUCACGUGUCCUAUCCACCUGUUACCUAUAUGUCCAAGAUACACCUCCUCGCCCUACCUAUUGUUUGUUGUUUGCCAGCUUUGCGAGUCGUAGGCGAGUUUAGGGUUUUGUUGAUAUCUCGAAAUGUUCGGGAUAUCUUGUUGGGAGGUUAUCACAUGAUAUAUCAGCUGUUGGAGAUACACAUGCUUUACUUAAUUGUUAACAACUAAAAUUGUAAGCAGAGGCAUCUGUGAGCCCCUUUGCGAAAGCAUUGGAACUUUGACUCGCUAAUGUCCCCUAGGACCCGAGUUCUUGUUAUCUGUUCCGAGAUUGAGCGCUCUACCCAUGCGUGGGGAUUCACUGGGAGCCCCCUCACCCUUUACCUUUUCUCAAGUUAGUUGAAAAGGGGGCCACAACCUUGGUUUUAUUUGGCGCAUGCAUGUUUAUUACUGCUGCCUUCGGGUGUUUACUUCCUGUUGCCUUCGGGUGGUUUAUUUCUGUACUGCACUGCAUAAUUGCUAGACGACUUAUCUAGUGCUUGGCCGUUAGUGCCCGCCUAGACGCCUACGCAACCUCCGGGUCCGUCUCGAGUACGGCCGGACUUCAUCACGGGUAGCUUAGUUGGGUGGCCCCCCAGACUUUCUUGUUGAACUGGGAACGGUCUUGUUGUGAGACAUCCACCUGUCGUAAGUGGGUCGAGCAUGCGUAUGGUUACAUUUGGGCAACCCCUGCAGGGUGUACAUCUUAUCGAUAAGCCGUGUCCGUGGUUAUGGACGACUUGGAAUUGUAUAGCUUGAUCAUAGAACAACUUACACCUUAUUUCCUGUUGUUAAUAAUUUGCUAAUAAAACUCUUUCAAAAGUGUGUGUGCCUUUGCAAUACCUCUUGGCGAGGGGGGAUCGCAUCGGCUGUGUUAUGUUUGCAGAGUAUAGAACAGUUACCUUGUGCGCUCUCUUAUCUUCUCUGAGUAGACGGAUGUUGUAGAGUGUCUCUAUUGGAUAGUAGCUUUGCUGCCGCUAAACUCCACAUAUAGCCGGGUGAAGUUUAUACCGCCCACCAGCGAGCAUAGCUGGUCUUGUCUCGCAAGUACGUGCCAAUGGUACUUACCCUCGCCUUCCUUUCUUUUUGUCUCCUCCCCCUUUUGUCGGCAACCGAAGGCCCAACUUUGACAGGUACGAGACGACGACGUUAGCAAGGUUACCCUUCCAGCUUGGCCUGGGCAGGGUUAUGGACGCCACUGAUUAUCUUCAGGACUCUUAGUCCAAUUUGUAUCUUGUCCAUACUCGGACGUAUUCGAUCUUCUGUAUGAUUUGGAUCUUUGUAUUGUAUAUUUGUAUCUUGACUCGUUGGAGUCGUUGUUGUAAUAUAUGUAUCUUGUGGGCUC